RNAcentral lists this ribosomal RNA (494 nucleotides) under Steinernema surkhetense. RNAcentral describes it as "partial large subunit ribosomal RNA". It matches the Rfam family "Eukaryotic large subunit ribosomal RNA", at positions 411 to 921 of the family's 3401-position model. The record is from RNAcentral. Lineage: Eukaryota; Metazoa; Nematoda; Chromadorea; Rhabditida; Steinernematidae.
AGGACGAACCGGGGUGGAAGCAGAGUUGACGAACGUGUGUCGUAUUCAGAACUACAAUUUGUGGUUUGUUUUUACGAUCGAUGUGGGCUGGCGUCUUUGGUUAACUUAGUGUCUGGCGGCAAUGGUGACCCUGCGGAGGGAUAUCGGUUGUCGUGCGAUGCUUGGUAUGGCAGGUUCCUGGUCUUAUCAUCGCUUUAUCUGACCCGUCUUGAAACACGGACCAAGGAGUGUAGCGCUUACGCGAGUCUUAGAGUGUGUCAAAACUUUGAGGCGCGAAAGAUGUGGAUUUAUUCACUGACUUGGGAUGCGUGUCUUUUUUGGAUAGCGUUGGACCAUGGUUUUAUCGUAAUCGCUUGCGAUGCGGUGAAAAUAGAGCGUAAGCGGUGCGACCCGAAAGAUGGUGAACUAUGCCUGAGCAGGAUGAAGCCGGAGGAAACUCUGGUGGAAGUCCGAAGCGGUUCUGACGUGCAAAUCGAUCGUCUGACUUGGGUAGG